GCGUCGGUACUCAAGUGGUCAACGAGGGCAGACUGUAAAUCUGCUGGCUUAGCCUUCGCAGGUUCGAAUCCUGCCCGGCGCA
Molecule: transfer RNA, 82 nt
Filed under: Candidatus Campbellbacteria bacterium RIFCSPHIGHO2_12_FULL_35_10
Lineage: Bacteria; Candidatus Campbelliibacteriota
Also listed under: 1 other name
Description: tRNA-Tyr
Rfam family: tRNA
About the family: Transfer RNA (tRNA) molecules are approximately 80 nucleotides in length.
Source: RNAcentral